This 372-nucleotide transfer-messenger RNA is filed under the name Candidatus Bathyarchaeota archaeon. It matches the Rfam family "transfer-messenger RNA". From Rfam's summary of the family: Bacterial tmRNA, also known as 10Sa RNA or SsrA, is named for its dual tRNA and mRNA-like properties. Its role is to liberate the mRNA from a stalled ribosome. The record is from RNAcentral. Lineage: Archaea; Thermoproteati; Candidatus Bathyarchaeota.
GGGGAUGACGGGAUUCGACUGGUUAAGAGAAACGGACAGUGCAGGUCGUGGAUGAUGGAGGGCCACGUUAAAAAGCUAUCAAAACUUUAAAUGUCAAGACUAAUGUCAAGACUCGCCGUUUUAACGGCAUCAGUAGCGCCCGUGUUAGUACGGGUGUUGCACUCGCAGCCUAAGCGAGUUAAUUUAGGCCAGAACCUUCUCAAUGUGGUUAAUACAUUGGAGUCUUUUGUUAGUAAGGACUUAAACUAAACUAGAUAGUUGUGGGUAGGAAGAACCCAAUAAGUUGUUAGACUAACAUAACUAACUAUACCUGUGAAUGAAUUUAAGUAGAUUUUAAUCAACACGCCGGUUCAACUCCGGCCAUCUCCAUAA